AACGAACGCUGGCGGCAUGCCUAACACAUGCAAGUCGAACGAUUGCCUUCGGGUGAUGGUGGCGCACGGGUGCGUAACGCGUGGGAAUCUGCCCUUAGGUUCGGAAUAACAGCUGGAAACGGCUUCUAAUACCGGAGGAUAUCGCGAGAUCAAAGGUGUAUCUCCUGAGAAUGGGGCCGCGUUGGAUUGGGUAGGUGGUGGGGGAAAGGCCUGCCAAGCCGACGAUGCAUAGCUGGGCUGAGAACAUGAUCAGCGACGAUUGGACUGAGACACGGCCCAGACUCGUACGGAAGGCAGCAGUAGGUUGUAUUGGAGGAGGGGCGCAAGUGCGGUCAAGCAAUGUGGCGGAUGAGGUGAAGCGGCUAGGGUUGUAAAGCUCUCUUACCCGAGAAGAUAAUGACGGUACUGGGUAAAUAAGCCCCGGCUAACUACGUG
RNAcentral lists this ribosomal RNA (435 nucleotides) under uncultured bacterium. Its description in RNAcentral is "partial 16S ribosomal RNA". It matches the Rfam family "Bacterial small subunit ribosomal RNA", at positions 29 to 507 of the family's 1533-position model. The record is from RNAcentral.